This 460-nucleotide ribosomal RNA is filed under the name uncultured bacterium. RNAcentral describes it as "partial 16S ribosomal RNA". It matches the Rfam family "Bacterial small subunit ribosomal RNA", at positions 338 to 795 of the family's 1533-position model. The record is from RNAcentral.
CCUACGGGUGGCAGCAGUGAGGAAUAUUGGUCAAUGGGCGCGAGCCUGAACCAGCCAAGUAGCGUGAAGGAUGACUGCCCUACGGGUUGUAAACUUCUUUUAUAUGGGAAUAAAGUGAGGCACGUGUACCUUUUUGUAUGUACUUUAUGAAUAAGGAUCGGCUAACUCCGUGCCAGCAGCCGCGGUAAUACGGAGGAUCCGAGCGUUAUCCGGUUUUAUUGGGUUUAAAGGGAGCGUAGAUGGGUUGUUAAGUCAGUUGUGAAAGUUUGCGGCUCAACCGUAAAAUUGCAAUUGAUACUGGCAGCCUUGAGUACAGUUGAGGUAGGCGGAAUUCGUGGGGUAGCGGUGAAAUGCUUAGAUAUCACGAAGAACUCCGAUUGCGAAGGCAGCUUACUAAACUGUCACUGACAUUGAUGCUCGAAAGUGUGGGUAUCAAACAGGAUUAGAUACCCUGGUAGUC